RNAcentral lists this ribosomal RNA (447 nucleotides) under uncultured bacterium. RNAcentral describes it as "bacterial SSU rRNA". It matches the Rfam family "Bacterial small subunit ribosomal RNA", at positions 331 to 792 of the family's 1533-position model. The record is from RNAcentral.
CCAGACUCCUACGGGAGGCAGCAGUGGGGAAUAUUGGGCAAUGGGCGCAAGCCUUACCCAGCAAUACCGCGUGAGUGAAGAAGGUCUUCGGAUUGUAAAGCUCUUUGAUCAGGGACGAACAGAUGACGGUACCUGAAGAACAAGCCCCGGCUAACUACGUGCCAGCAGCCGCGGUAAAACGUAGGGGGCGAGCGUUGUCCGGAAUGACUGGGCGUAAAGGGUGCGUAGGCGGCAUAAUAAGUUAGAAGUGAAAUACCCAGAGCUUAACUCGGGUGCUGCUUCUAAGACUGUUGAGCUUGAGUGCGGGAGAGGUUAAUGGAAUUCCUAGUGUAGCGGUGGAAUGCGUAGAUAUUAGGAGGAACACCAGAGGCGAAGGCGAUUAACUGGACCGUAACUGACGCUGAGGCACGAAAGUGUGGGUAGCAAACAGGAUUAGAUACCCUAGUA